Molecule: long non-coding RNA, 647 nt
Filed under: Malus domestica (apple)
Lineage: Eukaryota; Viridiplantae; Streptophyta; Magnoliopsida; Rosales; Rosaceae
Description: long non-coding RNA (MDOM_LNC017414)
Source: RNAcentral
UUACAUACUUUACUACAAUUGUCAAAAAGAGGGUUUAAUUUGUGUGUCAAAUAAUUCUCACAUCAAAAGUAUGAAAUCAGCCUUAAGUGUUAUGUGAAUCUUCCCUUUGUGUUUAAAGUGGGUUUUUGCAUUCAAAAGUGAAUUCUAAGUGUUAAUUUCAUUACUUUGCUUACUAUUGCUUUAAGAACCUUUGUUUAUCUUUUCCCUUUCUUUGCUAGCCAAUACCCUAGCCCCAUUACAACCCUUAGACUUCUAUCUUGGGUGUUAUGUGUUCAAUUUGUGGAGUUUGAAAGUGGUAUGAGCAUAUGGAAUCCCUAGUUCUCACUUCUGAGUAGUAGCAUUCCGUUCAUGAGAUCAUAUAUAUACAUACAUACAUACAUACAUAUAUAUAUAUAUAUAUACACACAUGCAUUAAUAAUUCCAGAAAGUGCCCUUCUCUGUUUAAAACAUAUAUGAAUACUAGUCUACAUGUUUACAUCAAUCUUCUCACAUAUACUUAGUGUAGGGAGUGUAGUCAGAAAACCUGUGUGAAAAUAUAGGGUAUAUCCGGUAAGGAAUUCUCUAAGGCAUGUUACUUCAUUCAAAAUGUUGUUUUAAUUAAUUAAUUGCGAGAUAGUAAGUGGCGACUCUGAUUAAGUGUGUGCUUG